RNAcentral lists this transfer RNA (72 nucleotides) under Aspergillus terreus. RNAcentral's name for it is "tRNA-Arg". It matches the Rfam family "tRNA". From Rfam's summary of the family: Transfer RNA (tRNA) molecules are approximately 80 nucleotides in length. Their secondary structure includes four short double-helical elements and three loops (D, anti-codon, and T loops). The record is from RNAcentral. RNAcentral also lists the same sequence under 1 other name. Lineage: Eukaryota; Fungi; Ascomycota; Eurotiomycetes; Eurotiales; Aspergillaceae.
GCCCGGCUAGCUCAAUGGCAGAGCGUAAGACUUCUAAUCUUAAGGUUGCGGGUUCGACCCCCGCGUUGGGCU